This is a long non-coding RNA of Micropterus salmoides (largemouth bass), 533 nucleotides long. RefSeq lists it as uncharacterized. The transcript has 3 exons. Lineage: Eukaryota; Metazoa; Chordata; Actinopteri; Centrarchiformes; Centrarchidae. The record is from RefSeq and is a predicted model, not a curated record.
UUUUGUUAGUUCGUCUUCAUCUCCCAUCAAGCAUCCCCUUCUCUUUCCUCAAUGAUUUGUGUUUUUUGCUUAUCUUUUCGAUUACUUGAACUUUAGAUUUUUGCCUGUGCCUGUUUUUUUUUUGAUUAUUUGCCUUAGGACUGCCUGCCUCACCGUUGGUGUAAGUGAGUUCCUCCUUUUUAAACAAAUUACCUUCAACUGAACUUGCUUUGCCUGGUGUCCUGCAUUUGGGUCCAAAUCCCCUGUUCCCUGUUGCGACGCUGGAACUGAAUUGUGACAACAAGAAGGAGCAGCUACAGUGAGCUGUUACACCAAGAGCUUUAGGCGACAGGCUGCUCACCUCCAACUUCUCAGUAAGAAAAGAUGGCCAGCUCUUUUCCGGGAAAACCAGGUUUCUGCAGAAUACCGUUGCAUCAACAACCAGCGGCUGAGAGUUGAAGUGUAUACUGCAUUGUUUGCUAGCUGUAGCCAGAGAGAUGCAGGGAGAAUUGGGCGGAAGUGCCCAGAAGAUCUCUUCUCCAUUGAAGAAGCAA